Molecule: long non-coding RNA, 399 nt
Organism: Capra hircus (goat)
Lineage: Eukaryota; Metazoa; Chordata; Mammalia; Artiodactyla; Bovidae
Exons: 3
Source: RefSeq, a predicted model, not a curated record
UCCUGCAGGCCCGACUCUACUGCUUCUCUGUCUUAUUCCCAAUGGUCACCUUGAGUGAUUGAUACCACGUGUUGUCCUGAUGGUGCCUCGUUGCUGUAGGACUUAGCAGAAGAAAUGCAGAGGUCGUAAGCGCACUGCUCCCUGAGUCAUCAAGAGAGUGAACACGCUGUGUGAGCAGCACCCAGAUGGAGAGAAAUGGAACAUGACCGGCCCUCCGAAGCCCCCCUCCUGCCCGUGCUCCCCUCCAGCCACUACUAUCCGCCAAUAGAAUCUUGGCCUUCUCUUCUGAUGGAGCCAAGGUGAGGACCCAGAGUUGUGUGGCUGUUGGAGUCAAGACCACUGUCCACUGCUCCACCCCCAAUAGGGCCCAGUGUGGAGUAUUAACAGGAAAAUCCCUGG